AUUGAACGCUGGCGGCAUGCUUUACACAUGCAAGUCGAACAGCAGCGCGGGCUUCUGCCUGGCGGCGAGUAGCGAACGGGUGAGUAAUGCAUCGGAACGUACCCAGUAGUUGGGGAUAGCCCGGCGAAAGCCGGAUUAAUACCGCAUACGACCUGAGGUUGAAAGCGUGGGACCAAAAGGACACGCGCUAUUGGAGCUGCCUAUGUCGGAUUAGCUAGUUGGUUUGGUAAAGGCUUACCAAGGCAACGAUGCGUAGCUGGCCUGAGAGGGUGACCAGCCACACUGGAACUGAGACACGGUCCAGACUCCUACGGGAGGCAGCAGUAGGGAAUCUUCCGCAAUGGGCGAAAGCCUGACGGAGCAACGCCGCGUGAGUGAUGAAGGUCUUCGGAUCGUAAAACUCUUUUAUUAGGGAAGAACAAAUGUGUAAGUAUCUAUGCACGUCUUGACGGUACCUAAUCAGAAAGCCACGGCUAACUACGUG
This 484-nucleotide ribosomal RNA is filed under the name uncultured bacterium. RNAcentral's name for it is "partial 16S ribosomal RNA". It matches the Rfam family "Bacterial small subunit ribosomal RNA", at positions 30 to 507 of the family's 1533-position model. The record is from RNAcentral.